UAUUUCAGUUGGUAGAGUGCUUGCCUCACAUGCAAAAGACCCUGGGUUCAAUCCCCAG
This 58-nucleotide transfer RNA is filed under the name Ictidomys tridecemlineatus (thirteen-lined ground squirrel). RNAcentral's name for it is "Spermophilus tridecemlineatus (thirteen-lined ground squirrel) tRNA". It matches the Rfam family "tRNA", at positions 8 to 63 of the family's 71-position model. Rfam says of the family: Transfer RNA (tRNA) molecules are approximately 80 nucleotides in length. Their secondary structure includes four short double-helical elements and three loops (D, anti-codon, and T loops). Lineage: Eukaryota; Metazoa; Chordata; Mammalia; Rodentia; Sciuridae. The record is from Rfam by way of RNAcentral.